AUUAUCUGAUAAUUCUGAACAUACAUACUCAGAAAAUUCAACUGCUGCAAAACUGGUGUGAGGCUAGAAAUGAGAACAUUUAUUAAGUUAUUGUUUUACAGCAUUUCUGCUUAUUUCUCCCAGUUCUACCUCAGCAAGCACAGACAGCUCCCCUGUUAUGCAGUGACCUGCUCAGCACCAUUUGGAUACAAAUAACCCUUCUGCAGUGUUAGUUUACAGCAACCUUCAGAGUUUUUGGCUCAUCUUCUCAAACCUUCAAUUAAGCACAAGAAAUCUAGACCUCAUUAAAAAAGUUCUCUACCCACCACAUUCUCUGCUGGCACAGACGAUGAGCACCGCUAUGUGAAGAAACGCCCUCACCAUACCACCAGCACUUCAGGAAGGCUCAUCCCUGACCCUCCUGGCUCUCAGAGAAGGUCGUUCCUGACUUUUCUGAGCUCUUUGGGGUGGCAAUGCUCAGCUCCAGGCAGCAGGAUGCUCUCCUACAGCUGCACACCCAACCUGGGCGCUCCUCGAGCCCCAUCAGCCACCAGCGGGGCACAGGCUGCCGGAAAGGCCUCGGCUCUCUGCUGCAACAGCCACAUUUGGGCUCUUUUAAAGCCGUAGUCUGGGGAUGUGAAACACAUGCUGGACUGUCAGCUAAGCUCUAGGUUGUGCUUAAAUCGACAGGACUCACGACUGCCCCGUCACCGCCAGGGUGGUGAGGGCCUGAGGAUGGAGCAGCCGCUUUGGCACCUUCCCACACUCACGGCUGAAAGCUGCGUGUCCCAUCCCAAAGUUCAAACACCGGCUGUUCCCAAACACACACUGCCCUGCUGGAGCCCCCAGACCAAAACGGUGACCACUGCACUGAGGAGCAGCCUGAGACUGUUUUCUGAAGAGUUACCACUGGAUGAAGGGUACAAGUCAUCUUGCAAGGACUUCAAUCAUCUUGCUCUACAGGGCUUCCAGGUCAAGGAGAGACAAGGCCAUGUAAAUGAUGACCCAAUGCUGAGGAUCACUCCUGCCAGCAAUGGCCUGAGCUCCCAAACAAGCAUGCCACAAGGCACUGUAGCAAGACCUGCGUUAUUAUUAUGUCUGCCUGACGUGCCAGCACAUGCAUCAAGCUCCUUCAAAGCAUUUACUCAUCUGAUUUACUGUGCCAGCUACUCAACCACAGCAGCAAUGAGUACCUACCCAGCAGAGUGAUCGUCUGCUUUAUGGCCCAACCCCACACCAGAUGCAGAAACAGCUAUAAAAGCAGGCAAAACGGGAUCCAGAGGUUGGGCCCCUCCUGCCAAGAAGUAACUUGGGUGGAUCAGCAUGCCCCAAGGCCAUUGUGCUUUUAUGGACAAACCAGGCUGCUUUUAUGAGCCCUUGCUAGCUGUACACAGCGAAACCAAAUACAGGAUCACAGAAUCCUAAAAUAACUUAGGCCAAAAGAGACCUCUGUCACAUCUUGUCCCAUCUAUGCUUAAAACUGGGCUGGCUUGGAUCAGGUUAGGGCCACCUACAAGUCUCUCACUCACCUUACUCUCUGCUGUGUUGGAGAACUCAGACACCAGGCACCACAUGCACACAUAUCCAUGAUGAUAUUUUGGAUCACAUCAACUACAACACCCAAAACAAGCUGCUGAACAGAGGGGCAAAAAGAAGAAACUGCAAAGAGGAAUAGCAUGUUCAAACCAGAUUCAGACCCCAUGCUUCCUCCUAACCCCAGCAGAAAUACUUAACGUGGGUUCAAUGCAUACAAUGCUAUUAAAAACCAAGCACAUCCAAGGAACCCAGUGAGGUCUGUAUUUUACAUUUUGGCCUUGCUGAUAUGUGUUUAGUCCACCAGAGUUGAGCAGAUAUGAAAGGAGGAAGGAAAGCAUCUGUAAAUGCCACACAUUUAAAAAACAGCCAGCUGGAUGCUAUUGACAGUGCUCAAAAACAUCAGGGUAUUUAUCAUGUCACACUCCCAGGAUUGGGCCAAAGCACAGAGUCUGGGCUAGCAGUUGCUGUUUCCAUUUACUUGGCUUUAGCUGAGAGUUAGGAAAAAAAUCACUUCAAAUGAGGAGGUUCUGCUUUGGUGAACUUUAUUUGUUACUUGGAAAUGUAGGAAAGGUAAGGAAACAGAAAUAACUCCCCGGUCUUAGCUGGAGAAAGGGUAGAAGACAGAAGUAGAAUUUACUCGCUUCCAUAAUCAUGGCAAAUUGAGCAUUCUGCUCAGUUAGGUGAUUUAAUAACACUCUUUUCAGAUAGUUUAGCCAAAAAGUUUUAUCUGUGAGUUUUUCUUCUCCCUAAAAUGUACUGCUGCUAAUUUACCAAAGGUAGAACAAGGCAAAGAUUCUGAAUAUGUGGAUACUAAAGUAAAUUAUUUCUUUAGCAAUGACCAUAUAAAAACCCUUAGAAUUUUCUUCUCUACUUCAUGACUUUUUAGUAGUCUGGAUGACCUUGAAGGAAAAAGAAAAUAUUAAGAAUCUCAUCUGAGUUUUCUAUGACAUAAAUAGUAAAUGACAGACAAUCCCUUCCAUGUAUUCUAGUGUCAAUGGCACACUUCUGUAAGUAUUCACUUAUUCAGGCUAUCUAGUCUCUUCAUGUAUAAGCAUGUAGAAGUGAUGUAAGAAGCUUAAACAAUUUUCUUCAGUGUGCAAAAACAUUGACAUAAUCACAGUGAAAAAUAGGAAAUAACUGUUACUCUUAAGAAUAAAAGGGUUUUCUGAAGGAAGUUCUUCACAUAAAUGUACACAUAUUUAGUGUGCAUUCUGUGAACACUUUCUCCCUAUGUAACAGAGAGCCAGAAAAUCAUCUGUCAGGGGAUGAUGGAUGAUGAACUCUGCUACUUAGGCCUCAGGGCCCAGCCCUGCUGCUAUACUUGACUUAGCCUUCAGUAGGCACUAAGUGUUCUGUCAGAUUCAUGCCAAGGGAAAAGCUUAUGCCUCAAACUCCCAAGUGUGGGAACCAGAAUAAACAGAGACAUUUUUAAUGUUACCACACAUUUUAAAUCUGCUUUCCUGUAAGCAUUGUCCAUAUUUCUGUAAUAUAUACAGUCAUUGUGGGUUUGUUGCUCUGCCCAUCACCUCUGUUCUUUGUUGUACACUAACCAAGAAAACAAAUGAAAAAUAAAAGGAAUGCACAGCAUACAUGA
Long non-coding RNA from Passer domesticus (house sparrow), 3109 nucleotides. RefSeq lists it as uncharacterized. The transcript is spliced from 3 exons. Lineage: Eukaryota; Metazoa; Chordata; Aves; Passeriformes; Passeridae. The record is from RefSeq and is a predicted model, not a curated record.